RNAcentral lists this ribosomal RNA (1436 nucleotides) under uncultured bacterium. Its description in RNAcentral is "bacterial SSU rRNA". It matches the Rfam family "Bacterial small subunit ribosomal RNA". The record is from RNAcentral.
AGAGUUUGAUCCUGGCUCAGAACGUACGCUGGCGGCACGCCUUAUACAUGCAAGUCGAACGGAGUAGCAAUACUUAGUGGCAGACGGGUGAGUAACAUGUGGGUAUCUUCCCUUUGGUGAGGAAUAACACGAGGAAACUUGUGCUAAUACCUCAUAAGUCUUUACGGAGAAAGCUUUAUGCGCCGAUGGAUGAGCCCGCACUUGAUUAGUUUGUUGGUAGGGUAAUGGCCUACCAAGACGGUGAUCAAUAGCUGAUCUGAGAGGAUGAUCAGCCACAUUGGGACUGAGACACGGCCCAAACUCCUACGGGAGGCAGCAGUAGGGAAUAUUGCACAAUGGAGGAAACUCUGAUGCAGCGAUGCCGCGUGAGUGAAGAAGGCCCUUGGGUUGUAAAGCUCUUUCGUCGGGGAAGAAAAUGACUGUACCCGAAUAAGAAGGUCCGGCUAACUUCGUGCCAGCAGCCGCGGUAAUACGAAGGGACCUAGCGUAGUUCGGAAUUACUGGGCUUAAAGAGUUCGUAGGUGGUUAAAAAAGUUGGUGGUGAAAUCCCAGAGCUUAACUCUGGAACUGCCAUCAAAACUUUUUAGCUAGAGUAUGAUAGAGGAAAGCAGAAUUUCUAGUGUAGAGGUGAAAUUCGUAGAUAUUAGAAAGAAUACCGAUUGCGAAGGCAGCUUUCUGGAUCAUUACUGACACUGAGGAACGAAAGCAUGGGUAGCGAAGAGGAUUAGAUACCCUCGUAGUCCAUGCUGUAAACGAUGUGUGUUAGACGUUGGAAAUUUAUUUUCAGUGUCGCAGCGAAAGCAAUAAACACACCGCCUGGGGAGUACGACCGCAAGGUUAAAACUCAAAUGAAUUGACGGGGACCCGCACAAGUAGUGGAGCAUGUGGUUUAAUUCGAAGAUACGCGCAGAACCUUACCAACACUUGACAUGUUCGUCGCGACUCUAAGAGAUUAGAGUUUUCGGUUCGGCCGGACGAAACACAGGUGCUGCAUGGCUGUCGUCAGCUCGUGUCGUGAGAUGUUGGGUUAAGUCCCGCAACGAGCGCAACCCUCACUUUUAGUUGCCAUCAUUUAGUUGGGCACUCUGAAAGAACUGCCAGUGAUAAGCUGGAGGAAGGUGGGGAUGACGUCAAGUCCUCAUGGCCCUUACGUGUUGGGCUACACACGUGCUACAAUGGCAUUGACAAUAGGAAGCAAGACGGCGACGUCAAGCAAAUCCUAAAAAGAUGCCUCAGUUCGGAUUGUACUCUGCAACUCGAGUACAUGAAGCUGGAAUUACUAGUAAUCGCGGAUCAGCGCGCCGCGGUGAAUACGUUCCCGGGUCUUGUACACACCGCCCGUCACACCAUGGGAGUUGGUUCUACCUUAAGGCAAAGCUUAAAACCUUUGACCACGGUAUAGUCAGCGACUGGGGUGAAGUCGUAACAAGGUAACC